Molecule: ribosomal RNA, 567 nt
Filed under: uncultured bacterium
Lineage: Bacteria
Description: bacterial SSU rRNA
Rfam family: Bacterial small subunit ribosomal RNA
Source: RNAcentral
CCUACGGGAGGCAGCAGUGGGGAAUAUUGGGCAAUGGAGGAAACUCUGACCCAGCGACGCCGCGUGCGGGAUGAAGGCCUUCGGGUUGUAAACCGCUUUCAGCAGGGAAGAAGCGAAAGUGACGGUACCUGCAGAAGAAGCACCGGCUAACUAUGUGCCAGCAGCCGCGGUAAUACAUAGGGUGCAAGCGUUGUCCGGAAUUAUUGCGCGUAAAGAGCUCGUAGGUGGUUCGUCACGUCGGAUGUGAAACUCUGGGGCUUAACCCCAGACCUGCAUUCGAUACGGGCGAGCUUGAGUAUGGUAGGGGAGUCUGGAAUUCCUGGUGUAGCGGUGGAAUGCGCAGAUAUCAGGAGGAACACCAAUGGCGAAGGCAGGACUCUGGGCCAUUACUGACACUGAGGAGCGAAAGCGUGGGGAGCGAGCAGGAUUAGAUACCCUGGUAGUCCACGCCGUAAACGGUGGGCACUAGUUGUGGGGACCUUCCACGGUCUCUGCGACGCAGCUAACGCAUUAAGUGCCCCGCCUGGGGAGUACGAUCGCAAGAUUAAAACUCAAAGGAAUUGACGG